GAGCUCAAGAGCUUAUUUCCCUUUCCUCCCCAUUUUUCUCCCAUCUCAAAGACCUGAGGAAUUAAGACUGUUGUGGAGUGGGAGCUUUCCCAAGGCUUGUGGGGCUGUUAGUGCAAAGGAGCACUCCUGGCAGCUGCAGCUGCAGACAGACCCUGCUGCAAAGGCAUCUGAUUUACUCCGUGACUCUGAUGCUUAUCAACAACGCGUGAAGAUUGCAGUAAGGAUCCUCCCUGGAAGGCGAGGAGGAGCAACUUCCAGGGGGCUGGGAGGAGGUGGAGUGCAGCGCGGCUCUCGCCUAUAAGGAGGUGCCCAGCGAGCGGCUGGUGCUUCCCACCCAGCCGCUGCU
This 346-nucleotide long non-coding RNA is filed under the name Zonotrichia albicollis (white-throated sparrow). RNAcentral's name for it is "lncRNA (ENSZALG00000014370.1)". Lineage: Eukaryota; Metazoa; Chordata; Aves; Passeriformes; Passerellidae. The record is from RNAcentral.